GACGAACGCUGGCGGCGUGCUUAACACAUGCAAGUCGAACGCUGAAGCUUGGUGCUUGCACUGGGUGGAUGAGUGGCGAACGGGUGAGUAAUACGUGAGUAACCUGCCCUUGACUCUGGGAUAAGCCUGGGAAACUGGGUCUAAUACUGGAUAUGACAUGCCACUGCAUGGUGGUGUGUGGAAAGGGUUUUACUGGUUUUGGAUGAGCUCACGGCCUAUCAGCUUGUUGGUGGGGUAAUGGCCUACCAAGGCGACGACGGGUAGCCGGCCUGAGAGGGUGACCGGCCACACUGGGACUGAGACACGGCCCAGACUCCUACGGGAGGCAGCAGUGGGGAAUAUUGCACAAUGGGCGGAAGCCUGAUGCAGCGACGCCGCGUGAGGGAUGACGGCCUUCGGGUUGUAAACCUCUUUCAGCACGGAAGAAGCGAGAGUGACGGUACGUGCAGAAGAAGCGCCGGCUAACUACGUG
This 472-nucleotide ribosomal RNA is filed under the name uncultured bacterium. RNAcentral's name for it is "partial 16S ribosomal RNA". It matches the Rfam family "Bacterial small subunit ribosomal RNA", at positions 28 to 507 of the family's 1533-position model. The record is from RNAcentral.